RNAcentral lists this ribosomal RNA (253 nucleotides) under uncultured bacterium. RNAcentral's name for it is "partial 16S ribosomal RNA". It matches the Rfam family "Bacterial small subunit ribosomal RNA", at positions 524 to 776 of the family's 1533-position model. The record is from RNAcentral.
GAUGUAGGAUGCAAGCGUUGUCCGGAUUUAUUGGGCGUAAAGAGUUCGUAGGCUGUUUGUUAAGUCUGAUGUUAAAGACUGGGGCUCAACCUCGGAAAUGCAUUGGAUACUGGCAGACUGGAGUGCAGUAGAGGCUAGUGGAAUUCCCAGUGUAGCGGUGAAAUGCGUAGAUAUUGGGAAGAACACCGGUGGCGUAGGCGACUAGCUGGGCUGUAACUGACGCUGAGGAACGAAAGCCAGGGGAGCGAAUGGG